CCUACGGGUGGCAGCAGUGGGGAAUAUUGGACAAUGGGGGGAACCCUGAUCCAGCCAUGCCGCGUGUGUGAAGAAGGCCCUCGGGUUGUAAAGCACUUUCAGUGAGGAAGAACGCCUGGUGGUUAAUACCCAUCAGGAAAGACAUCACUUACAGAAGAAGCACCGGCUAACUCCGUGCCAGCAGCCGCGGUAAUACGGAGGGUGCGAGCGUUAAUCGGAAUUACUGGGCGUAAAGCGCGCGUAGGUGGCUUGAUAAGCCGGUUGUGAAAGCCCCGGGCUCAACCUGGAACGGCAUCCGGAACUGUCAAGCUAGAGUGCAGGAGAGGAAGGUAGAAUUCCCGGUGUAGCGGUGAAAUGCGUAGAGAUCGGGAGGAAUACCAGUGGCGAAGGCGGCCUUCUGGACUGACACUGACACUGAGGUGCGAAAGCGUGGGUAGCAAACAGGAUUAGAUACCCCGGUAGUC
This 464-nucleotide ribosomal RNA is filed under the name Vreelandella stevensii. RNAcentral's name for it is "partial 16S ribosomal RNA". It matches the Rfam family "Bacterial small subunit ribosomal RNA", at positions 338 to 795 of the family's 1533-position model. The record is from RNAcentral. Lineage: Bacteria; Pseudomonadati; Pseudomonadota; Gammaproteobacteria; Oceanospirillales; Halomonadaceae.